Sus scrofa (pig) is the source of this 3974-nucleotide non-coding RNA. Lineage: Eukaryota; Metazoa; Chordata; Mammalia; Artiodactyla; Suidae. The record is from RefSeq and is a predicted model, not a curated record.
CAUCAAACCCACAAUCUUAUGGUUCCUAGUCAGAUUCAUUUCCACUGUGCCAUGACAGGAACUCUUACAUUUUUCUUCACUGCAUAUUUGUAUACUUAAUUUGAUAUUGUUUAUUUAAUGUUUAAAAAUAUAAAAUCCAAGGUCACAGGAGGUUAAAUCUCAGAAAUGGAUAUACUGGCAAAUUCUUUAAUCUCUACAUUCCUCAACUUCCUUACAUGAAAGUGAUAGCAAUAAUAUUAAUUUUAAUCAGUUGAUAUGAGGACUAAAGGAAACAAAGAACGUAAAAUGAUCAGUACAGUGCCUAGUACAUACUGAGUGCUCAAUCAUUGUGAAGUACUCUAUAAUUAUCAUGCUAUUUUCAACUCUCAUUUGUGAUUUUUGAAAAAUUUUAUCUUAGUUCAGGCUUAGAUUAGGUAGAGCUUCACCUAAUAAAUGCAUGUACUCAAUUAUCUAAGAGUUGUGAAUGUAUUUCUUCUUUCCACACUUGGAUAUUCUGUUGGACACCACAAGAAUUUCUCCUCAUUACACCUUUUCAAGUUUACAUAGCAGUAAACAGUGGACAUUUUGCUCACUCAUUCUUCUAGAUUCCAUCCUCUAUUUUGUAGAAGCAAGUCAUUUGUGAUGCUCUGGAUGAAGGUCUUUAGUUACACAAAAAAUAGAGAUGUAAAAACAAUGUCUUCCCGUCAGCAUAGGUGUAGUAACAACCUAAAGCAUGGUUUCAGUAGAUGGGUAACAUUAGGCACUAUGUCAUAGAAACAUUGCUGCUGACUGUAAUAGGAUAGUCCAAAGCAGUUCUAAGGUCUAUAUUUAUCAUCGUUUCAUUAUUUUACAAUUUCUCUUUAAAAUAUUAAAUUAAUUGUUUCCUGAGUGAAAUCUUCUGAGCUCUCUUGGGAUGUCUAGUUAACAACAGUAUACUAGCCUUGGCUUAUGUGUUGCCUUAAUUCAAAUCAAGAAUAAUUCAGACACAGGGCAGUCACCACUGGCUUGAAUCUAUCUCUGGUUUAUUAGUUUUAUGAACGGAAUGUAAGGAAGAUGGCUCAGGCCUCCAGGAAACUAGAGCGAUUCAGUGGCAACAAUGAUAAAGAGCAGAAUAAUUUUAACAUGAAAAUUAAAUUAACUUUACCAGGAGCAGGAAAAGCAACAGAGAAGAGGAAAUCCUUGACACUUCUGUGAGGUAGCCCAGAGGCUCCAACUCUUUGAAUUCAUCUCUGUAAGUGAAGCCCUGCGAUCUGUAGUAAAGAGGAGUGUCAAAGGAAAAAAAACCUGGGACAGAUUUUAGAGUUGCAUCAAAAUUAAAAGAAGAGAAAAAAAAUACAAGAUGCCUCCACGUAAAAGUGAAAAUGUGAUUUGGGUGAGUAUUGUCAUACUUUGUCAGUCAUUGCCAUAAAGUUCUCAGGGCUUUUAUCAUAAUUAAGCAUUAAAACAUUCCCUUUUCCAGGUAUCAGAAAGCAGCUAAAUCACAAAACCCAAAGGGAUGGAUUCUUGGGGGAAAAGUGUUCUCAGAACUGGAAGAAGCUAUAGCCUUCAAGUACUUUCAUAUUUCUAAUAGCUACAUCUUUUUUAAUAUGAUAAAGAAGAUUAUAAAAUCCAUGAAAAAUGUAACUUAUAGUGUAUAAUUUGUCAUUUUUUUUUCUUUUUUGUUACCUGGCUCCCCAUUAGAAUGUAACCUCUCAGAGUUCAGGGGUUUAGUUGUUUUGUUUGCUGUUUAUACCAAGAAUCAGCAUUAAGCACAAAGCAGGACUUAAGAGAAAUUGUUGUUGAAUGAACUAACUUGGUAUUUUCUCUUGUGAGUCUAAUUCCCUUAAGCACAUAUUAGUAUAUGCUGUCUUCUCAUUUUCCACUCAAUGCUCAAUGGUUUUACUAGUUCUUAACAGUCCUGUUCACAGUCCUCUAAAUCCCUGCCAUACUCAUUCUGUCAGAUGAUUUUGUUUCAAAAACCAUUUCUCAUUUUCCUGACAUGCCUUCAAGUUUUCCUGACAUCUUUACCUGUCGCCCACCCAUACAUUUUCUCAGAUGUAAAGGAGACCCUUGUAGGUGUCUAUCUCUACGCUUCAUAAAGUCUGCUAUAGCUUCUGAUUCCUUGCCCUAUCAAUUGCCCACUUUCAUUCUUGCAUUCUCCUUGUCCAUUUUCUCCAUAUCCUCUGUCUAUCCUCAAAUUCAAGUCUGCAUCGCAUGAGAACAAUGUCCUUUCUCACUCCUUUUAAUCAACUAUUCUACUUCCUCUUAUUCUUUCCUUUCUCCCACUUGUCUUAGUAUGUUUCACCAUAAACUAGGUGGUUUAUAAAGGACAAAAAUUUAUUUCUCAAAGCCCCGUAGGUUAGAAAAUCAAAGAUGAAGUUACCAGCAGAUAGCUGUGUCUGGUGAAAGCCUUCCUCCUCCUUUACACACAGCUGUUGUUUUUGCUGUGUUUUCAUGGGGUGGAAAGGGUAAGGGAACUUUCUCAGGUCUCGUUUAUAAGGGCACCAACUCCAUUCACUGAAGCUCAAGUCCCAUGACAUAAUCACCCAAAGGCCCACACUUAUUAAUACCAUCGCUUUGGGGGUAAGAAUUUAGGGAGGCAUAUAUUCAGACGACAGCACCAUCAAUAUUUAAAGCAAUAGUGUGGGCACCUUUUGUGUACUACAUACUUUUUUUUUUAUAAACAUUUGCAAUCUAACAUCUCCCCCAACACCCAUCUACUUCAAUAAAGCUUCCAUUUUCCAAAGCCAUUUCUCUUAGCUUUGAAGAGGAUGUCUGAAAUACACAUAAACUAGAUGCUAAAGAUUUGGUGCUACACUUAGAAAAAAAAUCAAGAUUUCUUUUGAUAUUUUCAAUAUAUGCUAAAAGUCAGGCCAGUGAUUCAGCAUGUUUCACUUGGUCAUGGAAGAGCCGUUGAACCAGGCUCACAGCUAAGUUCAUUCCUUUCAUCCACUACUAAUUUAUCCAAAGUUAGUUAAAAGAUGGCCAUGCCUAUAAUGACCCAGGAAGAUAAUCAUGAACACAGUGUUUCAGUGGGGGAAAUGGGCCAAUUCUAGUAUCCUAAUACAUAUGAUAAGAUGAGAUGCUUACUAUAGUAGAGUAUGCAUUGGGUGCCCUGGAGGCAAUGGAGUAUGUCACGUGAUUCAGUCUGGGAUGAGUGAGGAGGCAGCCACAGGAGGUGGUGGCCUAUGACACCAAUUUUUAAGGAUGAGUAGGAAUUAGCCAGGUGACAUAUUAAAAGAGUGAGAGAUUCAGACUAUUGCUUCUCAAACAUUGGUGUGAUCACUUGCACUUGACUAUUCAUAGCUCUUCAUUAUAUUCCCAUUACUUACAAGUAAAUUAUAAAUUCCCAAAACUAGCAUAGAGACUGCCCAUAAUGUGGUUUCAACCUGCCUUUCUAGACAUCCAAAUGUUCUCUCCAAAACCUAAAGAGCUUUUUAGCCAAUUGUGGACCAAUAUAUAGUCUGAUUAAUAAAUAUUCCUAAGAAAUAUAGUUUGGAUCAUUUCACUUUAGUUAAGAAAGUAAUUCAAAAUUUUAGUCCUAGACCUUCAGAAUUUUAUAAAAAUUCUGAGUUCCCUAAUUAUUACUCUAAUACAGUUUACACUGAAAACAAACUGGAAAUGCUAAGUUUACUACAAAGGCCAAGAACUUGCAGUGAAUCACAGUAUAAUUACCUCAUAUAAUUUUUUCAACAGAAUACAAAGUGUGCCACAGUGGAAAAUAUUGCCUAUCACUCUGGAAAGGCAAAGUUCGCUAUUACUCAAGAUAAAAACCUUCCCUUCAAGAGGGGAAGUGAAGGAACCCAGGACAAAAUAUUUACCCAAUUUACAUUCUGCCAGUUUAAAUUUUAUGCAAUGCAAUUUUGAGGCCGAUUUAAACAGAUCCUUCUCGUCAAAAUCCAAGAUCAUGCAUUCAUAUCUCCAGAUUCCUUUAUUCAAAGCACAAGUAAACACAGGUGAUUCACACAAAAGCCUGCUUAUAUGAUGUACGAACAAUAAACAGAAAGCUAUAAUCA